RNAcentral lists this ribosomal RNA (275 nucleotides) under uncultured bacterium. RNAcentral describes it as "partial 16S ribosomal RNA". It matches the Rfam family "Bacterial small subunit ribosomal RNA", at positions 338 to 610 of the family's 1533-position model. The record is from RNAcentral.
CCUACGGGUGGCUGCAGUAAGGAAUAUUGGUCAAUGGAGGCAACUCUGAACCAGCCAUGCCGCGUGCAGGAUGACGGCCCUAUGGGUUGUAAACUGCUUUUAUACAAGAGAAAACCCUGGUACGUGUACCAGGUUGAUAGUAUUGUAAGAAUAAGCAUCGGCUAACUUCGUGCCAGCAGCCGCGGUAAGACGAAGGAUGCAAGCGUUAUCCGGAUUCAUUGGGUUUAAAGGGUGCGUAGGCGGACUGAUAAGUCAGUGGUGAAAUCUCUUUGCUU